ACCCCUGUUAGAGGUCUUUUACCUCACGUGGGGCAAACGGCGGCUCAAUUCUUCAAGUCCCGAAACCGCAGGGACCGCAGACCUCGGGAAGGCAAACUAGCAGAGCACUCUCAGACAGAGGGGUGUGCAGCCUCCUCUUCCUACCCCAACGACCGAAACCAAAGCCAAGGGAACAGCUACUGAUGAGGCCAGGGUGGGUGCAAAUCCACUGGCAACACGGUCAUUGCUGAGUAACUCUGCAGAAAGCCAGACCAAGAUCUGACGGCCAAGGCAUAACCAGGCAUGGGCUUCCAACAGAAACCUACUAGGGGGAGCCACUUCCUUUCAUCAACUGCAUACACACCAAUGCUGGCACCUUGGUAUACACAGUACCUCUUAGUAAUCCCUGUCACUAUGAAAGUACCGGCUCUGACAGAUACAAGCAUAGUGACAGCCGUAAGCCCCCUCACCUCGUCAAGGUGGGAUACUCUCGAGGGGGUGAGGAGUAUGGCUCAUAUCGAUUUGCUCGUCAUUUAAUCUCUGCC
Molecule: long non-coding RNA, 524 nt
Filed under: Androctonus crassicauda
Lineage: Eukaryota; Metazoa; Arthropoda; Arachnida; Scorpiones; Buthidae
Source: RNAcentral